AUGAGUUGAGUUUCUCCGUGCCCGAACCAGACCGACGAAUUCCAUCCAUGUCUUGCGCCGCCGCCGUCUCUCUCCUCUGCCUCGCCGUACCUUCCACACGGAUUUGCGUGAUCUCCCGGUGUGGUACUCAGCCUCUGGGUGGCUCCCCGCGGCAGGGAGGCACGGAACCUCACGCCGCCCAUGUUCCUCUCUCGAUCUCUACCAUCAUGCCACCAGCCCCCUCCCCUCCUCCACCCAACGGCUGCUUUGACCUCUCUUCUCCUCCUCAUGGAUGCCUCGCCUGCGUUGCCUCACCUCUCGCGGCGCCUCCUUGGCUCAUCUGCUAGGCAAACUCCAUAACCCUCUCGGCCCCUCCUUCUCCUGUCCCCUUGGCGCGCACCAAACCCCCACAUGCUUCCCCUAGCGGACCACAUCAGAUUCACCCGGACUUCGAUCGGUGUUUUUCUUUUCUUUUCUUUUCACGCCUUCCUUGAUCUUUGCUACUCGGUGUCGAGCAUCGACGGUCAGCACAACAGAAAGGUCAUACCGGUUUUGAGCUCUCUCAUGUGAAAUGAUUUAUUUGGAUCAAGAUGGUUUUAGACUUUUAGGAGGAAUUCAUAUUUGCAGGGUGAUGGAAUACACUGUCUUGUGCCCAAAGGCUUGCUUUCCAAAUUUCAGCAGCUGAUGUCUGAAGGUCGUGUAUGUUAUCUACAGUUCUUUCAUAUUAGCCCCGCCAAAAGGCAGGCUUGAGAAGUUGAGAUAUUUCAGGUCAAGAUUCAACUGGUCGAUUUGGGUGCAGAACUUUUGAGGUUGAUCAUUCUGUUGAAUGCAUUGCUGAAUGAGGACGUCGAUUUAAGACAGACAAGGAAUCUACUAUGCACCGAACAGCUCUGACUCGGCACAACAGAUACCGCCUCCAACAAGCAAGAACGAAGCCAACGGAAGGAAACACCACCAAACUCAACAUAAUUAAGACACAACGCAAUGGAACAUAAUUAAGACACAACGCAAUGGAAUUGAAACCACGGUGACGCAAAUGACCAUAAUAAUCCACGAAGAAAGAAAAGGGAAGUUGAACCCAGAAUCAAAAAACGGCGCGGCAAAGCGCGCGUCACCUUCUAGUCCACGUACAUGAUAGGUAACAAGGCAAGUCAGUUUGUAAAGGAAAGUGAUCAAAAGAGACAGGAAAAUAAAGAUUGUUACUUUUUUAGUCGGUCACGACCACCAGAAGUUGCCGAUGGUUUGCCUAACGAGCAUCGCUCGUGGAGAUUAUUCUCCUACGGGCUGGGGCCCACCAACAUGCAUGGCAAUUAGAGAUAACGUGCAUGACACAAAUAUUAGAUACAUCAGCUUAGAUUUUUCUGGUUCUAGUUGGUUGGGUACUUUUCUUUCGGGUCAAGUUAGAGGUGCGGCUACUACUAUAAAGCCAAGCCUGCGUGCUUUGUAAUUUUUAGGUUAUAUUUUCUACAGGUUAGACAACAUGUGUAUCAAAUAUUAAGUAGCCCUCUUUGGGUGUCGUUGUUAAUUAUUUUAUGUGAUUUUUCUGCA
Molecule: long non-coding RNA, 1527 nt
Organism: Triticum dicoccoides
Lineage: Eukaryota; Viridiplantae; Streptophyta; Magnoliopsida; Poales; Poaceae
Exons: 4
Source: RefSeq, a predicted model, not a curated record